UGGGAUCCUGUAGGCCGACCAUGAAACCCCGUCCCGCAGGACCGGGCUGGAGGCAGGCCUCCUUGAAGGAGGAGGCUGAGCCUCUUCGACCGCCGAACCGGGUCAGGCCGGGAACGGAGCAGCCCUAAGGCGGGCAGCCUGGUGUUUGCGGGGGUGCGGGGUCGAGGAGACCUACAGGACACCCG
Molecule: signal recognition particle RNA, 185 nt
Filed under: Candidatus Bathyarchaeota archaeon
Lineage: Archaea; Thermoproteati; Candidatus Bathyarchaeota
Description: signal recognition particle sRNA
Rfam family: Archaeal signal recognition particle RNA
Source: RNAcentral